UUGACCUUCAAUUUCUGGCGAACACGAGAAGAGGCUGCCGCGACUUCUUCGGAGAAAAGGAGAGAAAUCGGGCUCGAAGAUCACCGGUGGAGGGUCUUGAGAGAGGGAGAGACUUAUUUAUAGGGGAUCCUAGAGUUCUAAAAGGCCUAGAGUUCUUCUCCGAUCGGGAUUCAUCGGAGAAGAAGACUCCUUUCGGGAGUCCUCCU
Molecule: long non-coding RNA, 206 nt
Filed under: Elaeis guineensis (African oil palm)
Lineage: Eukaryota; Viridiplantae; Streptophyta; Magnoliopsida; Arecales; Arecaceae
Description: long non-coding RNA (EGUI_LNC019430)
Source: RNAcentral